GUGCCAGCCGCCGCGGUAAUACGUAGGUGGCAAGCGUUGUCCGGAUUUACUGGGCGUAAAGGAUGCGUAGGCGGAUGUUUAAGUGGGAUGUGAAAUACCCGGGCUCAACCUGGGUGCUGCAUUCCAAACUGGAUAUCUGGAGUGCGGGAGAGGAGAGUGGAAUUCCUAGUGUAGCGGUGAAAUGCGUAGAGAUUAGGAAGAACACCAGUGGCGAAGGCGACUCUCUGGACCGUAACUGACGCUGAGGCAUGAAAGCGUGGGGAGCAAACAGGAUUAGAAACCCUAGUAGUCC
RNAcentral lists this ribosomal RNA (292 nucleotides) under uncultured bacterium. RNAcentral's name for it is "partial 16S ribosomal RNA". It matches the Rfam family "Bacterial small subunit ribosomal RNA", at positions 505 to 796 of the family's 1533-position model. The record is from RNAcentral.